ACAGCAGUAGCCACGGGAAUACAGAGGGUGCGAGCGUUAAUCGGAUUUACUGGGCGUAAAGCGUGCGUAGGCGGCUUCUUAAGUCGGAUGUGAAAUCCCUGAGCUUAACUUAGGAAUUGCAUUCGAUACUGGGAAGCUAGAGUAUGGGAGAGGAUGGUAGAAUUCCAGGUGUAGCGGUGAAAUGCGUAGAGAUCUGGAGGAAUACCGAUGGCGAAGGCAGCCAUCUGGCCUAAUACUGACGCUGAGGUACGAAAGCAUGGGGAGCAAACAGGAUUAGAGACCCCUGUAGUCCCUGUCUCUUAUAC
RNAcentral lists this ribosomal RNA (305 nucleotides) under uncultured bacterium. RNAcentral describes it as "partial 16S ribosomal RNA". It matches the Rfam family "Bacterial small subunit ribosomal RNA", at positions 505 to 807 of the family's 1533-position model. The record is from RNAcentral.